AAAAGAAGUUAUAUGAAAUAAGGACAAAAGAAUACACUUGUAAUCAUAGAGCUAAAAUGCUUAGGGAUUUUUAUAGGUCAGAUUGAUAAAAUACAAGAUGAGACUUUGUAGCCUUAAUGUUGGAAGUAGGUGUGGUAGAGAGCUGUGACGGGGUAUGACUGUUCCCUCUGUAUGUAAAGGACAUGUACAGCUCUGUUGAGUGGGGGAAGUAUUUGCCACAGGAUAAUGGGAUGAGAAAGGCACUGCAGCUACAGCCUGCUUACAGUCACACAGAGAACAGCUGAUAGCUAGGAUUUGUUAUUUCUCCUCACUGUGAUGUCUUAGUCUCUCUGCCAAUGGCCAUUUCCUUGCUAAUAAAUGUCUAUGUUUCCUUCCUGUGUCGUAUCCUACCUGCACCCUGCUCUUUAACCCCUUGAAAAUCCCAUUUAUAGAAGCUGUGCUGCCUAUCCUGAAGUUGCAUGUCCUUUCAUGCAUGAGGAGCCUCUUUCCUAUAUCAGAAUUUCUCAUUUUCCUUCUGGAUUGAGGAAGUCAUAGCCAACUCUGCUUCAAAGAGGCAAUUGAGGCGGUAGUGAUGCAAUUUAUCUUCUUUUAUGUGAGAAGGUCAAAACCACUAAUGAUGGUGCUUGCUUUUCUAAAGCACUCCUGAUCAUCGGAGCUGAGACCUCAUGCAUUUCAGGAAAGUAGGUUCCACUAAGAUACAGUAGGUCAUCCUCAAAGUGAUGUAUUCCAAAUUGUCAGGUGCAUGCUUUGCCCCUUAAUAAACAGAGUUUACUGCUUCCUAUCACUCUUUAUUUGCUCCCUCACCUUCCUUGGCAGAGUCUUUUUCUCCUUCCAUAUGUCUAUCCUUGUUCAUGCAAACUGAAUGUCUGCAUAUCAUCCUCCUUCCUCUGAGCACUAUUUUCUCAUGACAGCUUGUAUAUAUUUUGACUCUCUUGGCCUGGGUGACUUAGUUUUUAUCUCACUGCUUUGCCAAAAAAUAUUUCUCUUUUUCUUUUAGAUGUUCCCUUCUUGGUCGCGACUGACUUUGUUUCCUCUCCUCCUCCCACAGAAGUGACAGUUUUUGCAGUUCCUCAAAAUUGAAGUUUUAAAUACCUGUAGAUGAUCCAGGGAUCAGACUCUGUUACCAUCAGGUCUUAUUCACAGUAUUCCCCUGUAGGAGGGGGGAACUCUUGAACAUAAAAAGUUUAACUCAACUUAACAGGCCUAAAUCAAAUGUCAUACUGGUACAUCUAUAUAGAUUAUAUAGACAGUUUCUGAGAUGAUCAGGGCAUGGUGCUUAGGUGCAUCCCUGUCAUGAGCUGAUCCAGAUCUGCUGGUUUAAGAACCUAUAACAACUGAGAAGCAUCAAAAUCAGGAUCUGAUUCUGAAUUUUAAAGGUUAGGUGUGUGUUCAUUUCCCAGCUGCUGGAAGGAAAAAUUCAGAUGAUCCCACUUUGCAAGGUACUUUCCUACUUCUCCAUUCUUUCUGCAGUAUGGAGAAACCAGUUUCCCUUGUGAACUAUCCUUCAGGAAUAAGGAUCAAGUUAAAUAGUAACCUAAAAGGCAGGAAGAGAGAGCUGACUGUUCUCCAGCUGUCACCUUUUAGGUGGCUUUUUAUAACCCCCUCUAAUUCAGACAGGCUAAACCAUCCUUGAAUUAGCACAUGGCUGGUCCUGCAGGGACAACACAAAUGUUCUUUUACAGAACAGGACCCCCAGGAGUGGAUGGACAAUUAUUUUCACCAAUGUUCAGUGCUGCAACUUAGGUAUCAGUGAACAUUUUGAAGAGCAUUUUUGUCAUGGCUCUGCACGCUCAUGCUGUGUUGCUUGGUGCUGAGGAGCGGAGCCGCCCCGUACUCCAGCUGCUUACGGUGGCAGCACUGGCCUCAACAGGAGGAGCUGUUCCUCCUGUCAAGGGAAAUACAGCAGGCGUGGCUGAAAUGCAGGCAGAAUAAAUACACCGGCUGAGGAAAACAAAGCUGUUUCCGUGGUCUUUCGCCCACUGGAGCAGCACAAGAGGAUAGAGAGCAGACAAACUGCAAUAUCCUGGUAAUUAACUACCUCAGCAAUAUAGUGGCAUCACAGCAAUGGUAAUGCUGUGUAACAAUUUGCAUACAUUAGUUUUCAUGUUCCAGGAAAGCAAUUUCUGUAGCAUUUGAGAGAAAAAUAAGGAGGAAGAAAGGGAGAGAGGAAAGGUUGAGCUGAGGUCAAUAUAGGACUGCAAUUGAGAUUGCAUUCUGAGAGAGAGCUAGUGAGGCUCUGAAGGUUCUUGGACCUCUGUUAACUGGGAGUAAUUCUAACUGUAAAUAGGUGUAACUCUACUUGAAGCAGUUAGCUGACAAAGCUGAUCCAAUUUGGAGAGAUAUUUCAGCACCUUUGGGACCCACAGAUUUUAACCAGCACUGCAGGUGCAGACUGUCUCAGCUAUACCCAAAGCCGUGGGCCUGCAUUUGCAGAGCUCGUGGUGCUGCACAGGCACACUGCACCCUCCCUGCACUGGUGCCUGGCUUGGGAGCUCAAUUCCUGAGCAGAAGAGAAGACCCCCAAAACCUGUCACCAUGUCAGAUGAUCGUGUACUAGCAGUGGAGAAACAGAAGCUUUGGCAGUGAAAAUUUAUCUGUCUCUGCCAAGCUCCUUUGUAUCCUGAGGUCCUUUACACCAGGGCUGUUUGAAGAGGCAUCAAUAGACUCCUGGACAUUGAGAGGUGCAAUCACAGAAUCAUAGACUGGUUUGGAGUGGAGGGGGCAUUAAAGACCAUCUAGUUUCAACCCCUCCAUGGGCGGGAAUGCCACCCACUGCACCAGGUUUCUCAAAGCCCCAUCCAGCCUGUUCUUGAAUGCUUCCAGGAAUGGGGCACCCACAAAUAUUCUAGGUGCUCUUGGAUCUGGGGUACAAUGAAAUAAUCCAUUGCCAGGGCUGGUUGUAGGUAGGGAGAGCGGCUCUAGCUGCAGCUGCUAUGCUGCUGCAGCCACCGAGCCUCUCCUGCUCCUGUGCUGCAGAUCAUCAUGGGGAUGAGCCUCAGCAGAGGAAAAAAAGUAAAGCUCCUGCAUGGGCAAACCCAAAAGCUUUAUUUUUUGUCAUCUAAACUGCUGUGCGGUGGCAGUGAUGUUACCCCAUGGUUGUCACAGCAGUUUGGUUGAAACACUUGGAUCAGGAGGAGGAGUCCAUGCUCUGGCAGGCAGUAUGGGAUGGGGUACCUCAGGCUAGGUUCAGAUCAGUGGCAACCUGUAACCUCUCUGUUAGCUAUGAAGAUUUUUCUCCAUAUUUAUAUUUAUGUGACCUGGUGGCAUGUGUCCCUUAAAUUCUCUUUUUGUUCUUUUUUGUUGAUUUACUCUGUGACUUUAGGAAAAUUACUUAAUAUCUGUGUGCCAGAAUUUAUGUAUUCAUAACAUGGGUGUAUUGUUAAACAGCUUUCUCAGAGGGACAUUGUGAGGCUUAAUAAAUUCAUGCUUGCAAAGUAAUUUAUGAUUUCAGAUGAAAAUUGUUAGAGACGUGCAAAGCGCAUUAUAGUUAAAAUAUAGGAUACAAAAUAAUAAUAAUCAAAAGUCCCUGAAGAUGCUGAUAAUUCCAAAGGGGGAAUAUUUAUGACUGAAGUUACUAAUAAAAACAUCAACCACCGUGUUACAAAGUAAAAUUUUUCAACUAUAUAACAUUAGUUAAUCUUAUGCUAUUUAUUAUUCUGUUUAGUUAUUUCCAUUCUCAUUGCAUGGAAAGAAAAUCUAUUAAACUGAUCUAUUCUGGAUUUAUAUCAAAAGGACAUCAGUGUUUGCCCAAAAUAGGUCAGAAGAGUGCAAAGCCAUGGCAUGUUUGUUUGUAUGGCUACCUUUAUUGAUAGCAGAAAUCUACAGGAUGACUUACCUGAGUGAGUCCAGAAGCUUUUGUGGAACCAGGGCUUUGGUGUGACGGAACAAGGGCUUGAAAAAUUGUCUUCUUGCUAUAAACAAAAAAGUCCACAAAGAAUAAAGUCUACACAGGGUACCAAAUCCCUGGAAAGAAAUUGUGUGGUAUGUGCCAAAGCCUUUUCAGCAACAAAGAUUUCAUUCUGUAACACAGAAAACGGGGAUUAGUGUGACCUUCCACACCUCCAUAAAACAAAGGUUGCCUCUGCACAUGUCCAGGCAAAAGUUGACAAGAGGAAAGAAAUAACUCUUGUGAGGUGUUUCAGAGACAGCUCUUGGAGAAAAGGCAGAGCAAAGACCAAGAAAGAAUAGAAUUUGCAUUCUAUCCAUCAGGAUACAAUUCUUUUGUGUUUGUAAACAUUUGGGAUUUGGUCAAGAUACAGUCCUUUUUUGUCUUGAGCCAAAAUCCCAAAACCUUUGGAUCCCAAAAGCAAGACCAUGACUAUUUAAGGUUUGCACCAAUUUGUUCAACUGUAAACCCUACAAAACAUAACCUUUGCUGUGCAGCCUGUGUCCCCCUUCAGGCAGCUGGUCCCUUGGCAGGGAGGGUGCCUGCUGGUAGGUCAGUGCAGGAUGGAUAGGUGGGUUGGUUUCUGUGCUUCAUGUACAGUUAAUAUCAAAUGAAGGGCUGUGCAAUCUUUUAAAUAAAGGUGAUUUUCCUGUCACGGGACAAAUUAUGAAUGAUUUGCCUUCAAAAGUCAAUGCUGAACCGUGGCAGAAGAGACAAGAGAGUAUUUUGACUGGAAAUGUAAGGCCAUAAGUUGGACUUUGAAUUUCCAUUUCCUAGACAUAUCUAUGAUGGUUCCCAUGUGGGGGAAAAAAUUAAGAACCAUUUUUACUGUACUUAAGAAACUGAGUUUAUUUUCAUGGAGCUGUACUCUGAUCUCUGCUGAGAUGAAUCUGAGAAGCUGCCUGUUUUGAGCAUGGAAAGCCUGAAGGGUCUCUAAGUAACCAUCAAGAUUCUGGCUGAGAGCAGCCUGAGUUUUGAGAGCACUCUGGCCUCAGCUUCCCGUUUUGCAGCAGGGGGACUCAAGCGGUGCUGGUCUUGGGACAUCAAACACAGCAAGCCUUGUUCCUGUAAACUGAUUGCUGGGUCAUCCUCACAUGAUCAUGAGCUCCCAGAAAAGCAGAUUACACAGAGUGUCCAGUUUGGGGAGGACUGUAGAUGCUCUUCUUAACAUCCUUAGACAGUGUGUUUUGAUGAAGUAUACAUUUUAGGGACCUAACAGGGAGUGAGAAAGAAAGGGAUAAUCUGUCUCUAUUGAAAAGACAAAAGGGGAAAUGUGGGAAGUAUUCUAGCCCUCAGCCAGAAAAAUACCUCAAUGUAUUAGUCAUCUGAGUGAUUGCAACUUGUUCUGACAGUUCUAAUGCCAAAUAUGUGACUGAAAAGCCUAGGAAUACCAGGUGUCCAUAGUCUUUUUAGCAAUGAUCAACAACUCAGAUAUAUUCUUUGAAAAACCCAUUUUGUUUUAGAUAGUUUGGGGUUCAAAUGUUUACAAACCCAAACUCUGACUUUCUCUGCACUCUGGGUAACAUUUGUGGGUCUUAACAGUGCUUGCAUUUCUGGAGUAGUACAGAAGGCCUUAGCCUCAGUGCUGUGAAAGCAAAUGUGUGGGUGCCUUCACCCAGAGCAGCUUCAUCAAAUAAGAGGUUUUCUUAGUGCUGUGGGCAGGUCUGAUCCAGCUGUGAAGUUGGGACUGUGUUACAUGAAGUAGUCCAUGCUUUCAAACAAAUGAAAUGAGGGAAAGAAGGAAUAAUCUUCCCGUUAAAUCUGUUCCUGCCUAGUGUAUUUCAGAUAUUUAGCACUCAGAUUUCUUUUUUUCCUGUGAUAUGGACAGAUUAAAAAAAAAAAAAAGCAUAUGGCAACUGGAUAUAAUUCUUCACUUAAAUGAUGCAAAGUAUAUUACAAAGGUGAGAAAAUACUCCUUUUCUCUAUUCUCAAAAAUGUAAAAGGUAUAGAGGCAGAAGUCCUGCAGGUAGCUGAACAGAGUGAUGGAAGAGGUGUUCCUAUUUUAUUAUGUUCUCUGUGUCUCAGCUUGCUUCCCUGAUAAGUGUUGGAGUCUUGUACUGUGCCAAAGGAGGGGACUUUGGAAAAGACACCAAAGUACAUAGCAUUAUGAGAAGUGUUCAUAAAUAUCUUUGUAGUGUUAGACACAGUUCUUGCUUGGAGAUAUCUGAGUUAUCAAGAGUUAGUGCUCACUACAUUAAAUGUUUACUUCUUUUUAGCAUUUCAAGUUGUCAAUAAAACACUUAAAUGUGUAUGUGUGUAUGUAUCUCAUAUGGUGGCUGUGGGGAACUAGAGAUUUUAAAUCAAAAAAGACCAUGAAAUAUUCUGGGUUUGACUUCUUCCUUAUAAAAGGUCCCUAAACUUCAUCCAGUUACCUGCAUACUGAUUUCAGUAACUUCUGUUGGGUUAAUGCAAAUUUGAUCCUCAUCUGAGAAUGUCAAAUAAGUAGGAGUUGCUAUUUCCUUUGGUAGUUCAUUCCAUGCAUUUGUGCCCCUUACUGGAGAAACUAGGGAUGAGGCUGGUAAGAGGAAAGACUGAAAAUAAGGUUUAUUUCUACCUAAUUACAUAAAAUUUUAAUGUUUGUCCUUUUACUCUAGAGUUUUUCUAUCUUCUCAUUUAUCCCAGGAAAAUAAUUUCUGUAUAUUUUUUCAAAGAAUUUAUUGAUAAUUGUGCCUUUAUCUGGACUUCCUUGUUCUAAGAAAGCUGAUCUUCAUUUUCCUAGUGUAACACAUUUUCCCUAGCCAACUGAAAACUUUUCUGGCUUCUUUAUACCUCUUUUUCAAUUUUCAAGUAUCUGUUUUUAAAACUUAGAUAACAGAUUUUACUACACUUUUCUACUAUUGGUCUUGCCAGUCU
Long non-coding RNA from Prinia subflava (tawny-flanked prinia), 6739 nucleotides. RefSeq lists it as uncharacterized. The record is from RefSeq and is a predicted model, not a curated record. NCBI's taxonomy places the organism in Eukaryota, Metazoa, Chordata, Aves, Passeriformes, Cisticolidae. The transcript is spliced from 3 exons.